UCGGACUGUAGGCUGCAACUCGCCUACACGAAGUCGGAAUCGCUAGUACUCGCGGAUCAGCAUGCCGCGGUGAAUACGUUCCCGGGCCUUGUACACACCGCCCGUCACACCAUGGAAGUUUGCAAUGCCCAAAGUCGGUGGCCUAACCAUUUGGAGGGAACCGCCUAAGGACAGGGCAGAUGACUGGGGUGAAGUCGUAACAAGGUAGC
RNAcentral lists this ribosomal RNA (209 nucleotides) under uncultured bacterium. RNAcentral describes it as "partial 16S ribosomal RNA". It matches the Rfam family "Bacterial small subunit ribosomal RNA", at positions 1293 to 1500 of the family's 1533-position model. The record is from RNAcentral.